CAGUUGUUACCCUCCACGGCUAAAUAAAGGACGAAAUCAGUUUCAGUAAUGUACUGAUGUACAUGGACAUUAGAGAGUCAUUUCAAAGACAAAAACUCAGCAAAAGAGGGAGAGAGAGGAACAGAGAGGGAGAUGGAGAAUGAGGACAGAACAGAGAUGGAACAAGAGCAGUGUUUCAGUGUAAAGAUGGCUGCAACAAGCACAAAGCGGCGUGCAGGUGAGAGAGAUCUGGUGGUAGACGAUUAACUUGUUCCAUUUUGUUUUACAGCACAGUGUUCAGUUCACUUUGAUUCAACUGUUUAUCCAUCCAAGCACGGCAAUUCUUUUAAAGGAGAAAUGAAAACAUUAUUCUUUUCUUUUUAUGCAUGAUUUUGGAGUAAUGGUUAUUAGUAGUUGGAUCAAUAGUUUAUUUUUAGUUUUUUUUAGUUUUUUUGGUUAUUCGUGCAUGUAUUAGGCAACAUUAUAAUAAAACACAGACUAUGUUUUCUUGGCUAUGCAGAGAUAAUUGUAUAUUUAUAUAUGAAGAAAGGCCUAUUUAACUGCAGGCACGCCUUAAAGCUUUUAAUUUCCAAAUUCAGACAAAAUUGAGGUUGCAGUAUUUGUCCCUAAAAAUCCCAGAAAUAUGGUGUCCAACCAGAUAUUUACAGAACUGAAUGGGGUAUACCAUGCAUCUUUUUCUCCCAACAAUGUCCCUGAGCUAUCCCGGGAAAUCCUAAGAUGCUCACAG
This is a long non-coding RNA of Oreochromis aureus, 727 nucleotides long. Lineage: Eukaryota; Metazoa; Chordata; Actinopteri; Cichliformes; Cichlidae. The record is from Ensembl.